CCCAUGUACUGCCAUUGUGCUGAUGUUAUGGAAGUUAUCAGAAUAGUUGUCUCCUGCUAGAUGCUUGGAAGCUUCUGCCAGGAAAUUAUACAGAUGUUGGCAUGAAUGAAACAUGGGAACCAGUGAGAUAUGAUAUCAAGUUUAUAAACAGCAAAAGGAUUCCCCAAGGAGAAUGGCUCAGGUUCGAUCUCAGUGAAGCAAGAGCAAAGCAGGAACUCUUCCAGUACCUUUCAUAAUUGCAUAGUACCUUUCUGUAAUUGAGAUGAGAAAUAUCAGCUGUGAUAUGCUUUAGAACUGCACCCAGUCAGGAGACACCAAAGGAAUAACUGCAAAGACAAUAGGAUAUAUGAACAACGUAAGCCAAAGCUGUUGUGUGACACAGAAGACUGUUCAAAUCAAGUUCCUGACCUUCAAUAAA
Eptesicus fuscus (big brown bat) is the source of this 418-nucleotide long non-coding RNA. RefSeq lists it as uncharacterized. The record is from RefSeq and is a predicted model, not a curated record. NCBI's taxonomy places the organism in Eukaryota, Metazoa, Chordata, Mammalia, Chiroptera, Vespertilionidae. The transcript is spliced from 3 exons.